This 502-nucleotide ribosomal RNA is filed under the name uncultured bacterium. RNAcentral's name for it is "bacterial SSU rRNA". It matches the Rfam family "Bacterial small subunit ribosomal RNA", at positions 335 to 850 of the family's 1533-position model. The record is from RNAcentral.
ACUCCUACGGGAGGCAGCAGUGGGGAAUCUUCCGCAAUGGGCGAAAGCCUGACGGAGCAACGCCGCGUGAGCGACGAAGGCCCUUGGGUCGUAAAACUCUGUCUUCAGGGAAGAAAAAAAUGACGGUACCUGAGGAGGAAGCCCCGGCUAACUACGUGCCAGCAGCCGCGGUAAAACGUAGGGGGCGAGCGUUGUCCGGAAUUACUGGGCGUAAAGGGCGUGUAGGCGGUUCGCGAAGUCAGGAGUGAAAACUCGGGGCUCAACCUCGAGAUUGCUUUUGAAACCAGCGGGCUUGAGUGCAGGAGAGGAAAGUGGAAUUCCCAGUGUAGCGGUGAAAUGCGUAGAUAUUGGGAGGAGCACCAGUGGCGAAAGCGGCUUUCAGGCCUGUAACUGACGCUGAGGCGCGAAAGCGUGGGGAGCAAACAGGAUUAGAUACCCUGGUAGUCCACGCCGUAAACGAUGGGUGCUAAGUGUUGGGGGUAUCGACCCCCUCAGUGCUGUA